UACGGGGGGGGCAAGCGUUGUUCGGAAUUACUGGGCGUAAAGGGCGCGUAGGCGGUUUGCUAAGUCGAAUGUGAAAACUCUGGGCUUAACCCAGAGCCUGCAUUCGAUACUGGCGAGCUAGAGUUCUGGAGGGGAUAGCGGAAUUCCUGGUGUAGCGGUGAAAUGCGUAGAUAUCAGGAGGAACACCGGUGGCGAAGGCGGCUAUCUGGACAGAGUCUGACGCUGAGGCGCGAAAGCUAGGGGAGCAAACAGG
Molecule: ribosomal RNA, 253 nt
Filed under: uncultured bacterium
Lineage: Bacteria
Description: partial 16S ribosomal RNA
Rfam family: Bacterial small subunit ribosomal RNA
Source: RNAcentral